ACCUUCACCAACCCCCUCUCUCUCUCUCCGAGUCCAUCUCUCUCUGUCUCCCUGUCUGUAUCUAUUUUCUCCGAGUCUCAAACUGGUUUCACAUUUUGGUUAGACAUUUCCUUCCUUUUUCUUCCUUCAUUAUAUUGAAAAUGGAAAAAUCCGAUCAAAAACAGAAGCAGCGCCACGAGCAAAACAUAUUGUUACCUCAACAACAACAACAUAAGCAAGGCUACUCCGAUCAUGUCUGUCGAGAUAGAGUUCAGGAUCAACCUCAGAGCAAAGUACAAGCAGGUCUAAUUAGAGAAGUAGACCAGGAGGUGAAGUUAGCUGCCACCGCGAUCAGCCUCAACGUACGGUUGAGAUCAUCGUCCCACAUGCCGCACCACAUGCAAGACCGUGCUCUCCGCCGCACCAGAUCACUCAUCGACUCAGCCGCCGCCGCAGCAAAAGCACUUUCCUCCAAACCACGGCCAAACCCAACUCACAUUGCUCGAGCUCUCAAAAAGGAGUUUGACUCGUUGUACGGACCGGCGUGGCACUGCGUGGUGGGAAAGAGUUUCGGGUCGUUCGUGACUCACUCGCCGGGUGGUUUCCUCUAUUUUUCUAUCGACGACUCGCUGUCGGUGCUGCUCUUUAAGACGGAGGUUCAGUUGGUCACCGAACAACAACCACGGAAACCGGCGAAUUGAGCGGCCUAGCUUUUGAAAAUUUUGUGUUUUCUGAGAAUGACACUUGCCAGGUGGCUGUACUGCAUGACACGUUUUGCUAUGGACGACUUUAAGCCAUGAGUUUGAUGAUUGAGAGGACAUAUAUAUUUCUGCCAUAAAGCUCGUGUAAAAAGUUGUGCAAAGUUGGGAAAUGAUUCCUUUGGUAGUUGGUAGGGUAGGCAUGGGUUUUUACAGUGUUCAAGUGAAGCAGAGAGUGCAUGGUGUUUGGUUUCAUUGAUCAGCCAAAUCAGGGUCUUUUCUAUCUGAUAAAAACAGAGACCUGAAGGCACAAGGGGUUCUGCUACUGCAAAUUUAUUUUCUUUUCUGAUAUUUCAUCAGACUGCACAUUCCAUAAAUACACGCAAAGAUGAAAGCUCUGGGAAAUAAUGAAAUGACACUCCUCUGCUUUGAAAAGGUGAAGGCCACUGGCCCAGGGUUGUGUUAUAUUUUGACCUGCACAAAAUUGAUCUAUAUUCAAUUCUGGAGUUUAGAUUUUAUAAGCAUUUUGUUUGUUAUGAUGAAACUUGUUUGGGUUUUUCACUAGCAAGUCAUGACCAGUCUUUUACAAUACUGUCAUCUGCUAUGAUUUGAAAGUUUGUGCCAUGUACCAAGGCUUGGAUCCAAUG
Rosa chinensis is the source of this 1324-nucleotide RNA transcript. RefSeq lists it as uncharacterized. The record is from RefSeq and is a predicted model, not a curated record. NCBI's taxonomy places the organism in Eukaryota, Viridiplantae, Streptophyta, Magnoliopsida, Rosales, Rosaceae. The transcript is spliced from 3 exons.